Long non-coding RNA from Xenia sp. Carnegie-2017, 659 nucleotides. RefSeq lists it as uncharacterized. NCBI's taxonomy places the organism in Eukaryota, Metazoa, Cnidaria, Anthozoa, Malacalcyonacea, Xeniidae. The transcript is spliced from 9 exons. The record is from RefSeq and is a predicted model, not a curated record.
CUCGAAUUUGAAGUUAACUACUGCCAAAAAAUUCGAUCUGUCCUUAAAUAGCAACAUCAAUGGUCUUUUUCAGGACUUUACCAACAUGAAAGAUACGUGAGAAAUUGUUGGACUGUCACAAAGAUGUUAAAAUGGGAGAGCCUUCAGAAUUUUCCAACUUUAUGUCUUCAGUAAUUAACAAGAAGGCAUUUGAGUCAAUUAAAGGAUUCAUUGACUAUGCAAAGAAAUGUGAAAAUGUGAUUAUUUUGGCUGGUGGAAUUUCAGAUGAUAGAGUUGGUUACUACAUUGAACCAACUAUUAUGGAGGUAAAAGAUCCAAAAGACAAACUAAUGACUGAGGAAAUAUUUGGACCAGUUCUUCCGAUUUAGUUUUACAAAGCUGAUAUGUAUAGAGAUAUAUUAAAAAUGAUCGAUGAAACAAGUAAAUUUGCUUUAACAGGAGCCGUUUUUAGUGAAUCAAGACAAGUUAUCAGGGAAGUCCAACAAGUUUUAAGACAAGCUGCUGGUAAUUUUUAUAUCAACGACAAAUGUACAGGGUCAGUGGUUGCUCAACAACCAUUUGGUGGUCGUCGAAUGUCAGGUACCAAUGAUAAACCUGGCUGUUAUCUCAAUAUUUUACCCUGGGUUUCACCAUUGUCUGUAAAAAGAAAUAUCUUGAAA